RNAcentral lists this transfer RNA (67 nucleotides) under Odontocimbex svenhedini. RNAcentral describes it as "tRNA-Thr". It matches the Rfam family "tRNA". Rfam says of the family: Transfer RNA (tRNA) molecules are approximately 80 nucleotides in length. Their secondary structure includes four short double-helical elements and three loops (D, anti-codon, and T loops). Lineage: Eukaryota; Metazoa; Arthropoda; Insecta; Hymenoptera; Cimbicidae. The record is from RNAcentral.
GUUUUAAUAGUUUAAAUAAUAAAAUAUUGAUUUUGUAAAUCAAAAAUAAGAGUCAUCUUUUAAAACU